This 133-nucleotide small nucleolar RNA is filed under the name Echinops telfairi (small Madagascar hedgehog). RNAcentral describes it as "Small nucleolar RNA SNORA63 (ENSETEG00000023273.1)". It matches the Rfam family "Small nucleolar RNA SNORA63". From Rfam's summary of the family: E3 belongs to the H/ACA class of snoRNAs and is involved in the processing of eukaryotic pre-rRNA and has regions of complementarity to 18S rRNA. Lineage: Eukaryota; Metazoa; Chordata; Mammalia; Afrosoricida; Tenrecidae. The record is from RNAcentral.
CAGCAGGAUUUAGACUACAAUACAGCUGUUAAGUCCUAUUUUGUCAUUCCCCCUGCUCAAAGUAAAAUUGUUUCUUAUCUAUCUCUGUCUGCUAGUUUUUUGUAACAGCCCAGGGACACUUAGUCUCACACAU